CGAGUUUGAUCAUGGCUCAGAACGAACGCUGGCGGCAUGCCUAACACAUGCAAGUCGAACGAUAAGCCACCUUCGGGUGGUGGACAGUGGCGCACGGGUGAGUAACACGUGGGGACCUGCCUGAUAGUACGGAAAAACAGUUGGAAACGACUGCUAAUACCGUAUACGCCCUUCGGGGGAAAGAUUUAUCGCUAUCAGAUGGACCCGCGCUAGAUUAGAUAGUUGGUGAGGUAAUGGCUCACCAAGUCGACGAUCUAUAGCUGGUUUGAGAAGAUGAUCAGCCACAUUGGGACUGAGACACGGCCCAGACUCCUACGGGAGGCAGCAGUGGGGAAUAUUGUACAAUGGGCGCAAGCCUGAUACAGCAAUGCCGCGUGAGUGAAGACGGCCUUAGGGUUGUAAAACUCUUUCGCCAGGGAAGAUAAUGACGGUACCUGGUAAAGAAGUCCCGGCUAACUCCGUG
RNAcentral lists this ribosomal RNA (463 nucleotides) under uncultured bacterium. RNAcentral's name for it is "bacterial SSU rRNA". It matches the Rfam family "Bacterial small subunit ribosomal RNA", at positions 9 to 507 of the family's 1533-position model. The record is from RNAcentral.